CUGGGUCCACCUCCCACCCGUGUUUAUUUUACCUUGUUGCUUCGGCGGGCCCGCCUUAACUGGCCGCCGGGGGGCUUACGCCCCCGGGCCCGCGCCCGCCGAAGACACCCUCGAACUCUGUCUGAAGAUUGUAGUCUGAGUGAAAAUAUAAAUUAUUUAAAACUUUCAACAACGGAUCUCUUGGUUCCGGCAUCGAUGAAGAACGCAGCGAAAUGCGAUACGUAAUGUGAAUUGCAAAUUCAGUGAAUCAUCGAGUCUUUGAACGCACAUUGCGCCCCCUGGUAUUCCGGGGGGCAUGCCUGUCCGAGCGUCAUUGCUGCCCUCAAGCACGGCUUGUGUGUUGGGCCCCGUCCUCCGAUCCCGGGGGACGGGCCCGAAAGGCAGCGGCGGCACCGCGUCCGGUCCUCGAGCGUAUGGGGCUUUGUCACCCGCUCUGUAGGCCCGGCCGGCGCUUGCCGAUCAACCCAAAUUUUUAUCCAGGUUGACCUCGGAUCAGGUAGGGAUACCCGCUGAACUUAAGCAUAUCAAUAAGCGGAGGAA
Molecule: ribosomal RNA, 540 nt
Filed under: Penicillium crustosum
Lineage: Eukaryota; Fungi; Ascomycota; Eurotiomycetes; Eurotiales; Aspergillaceae
Description: eukaryotic LSU rRNA
Rfam family: 5.8S ribosomal RNA (bases 161-313)
Source: RNAcentral